RNAcentral lists this small nuclear RNA (20 nucleotides) under Arabidopsis thaliana (thale cress). RNAcentral's name for it is "snRNA_07296". Lineage: Eukaryota; Viridiplantae; Streptophyta; Magnoliopsida; Brassicales; Brassicaceae. The record is from RNAcentral.
GACGGCGGCGGCUACGGCUC